AGAGUUUGAUCAUGGCUCAGGACGAACGCUGGCGGCGUGCCUAACACAUGCAAGUCGAACGGACGAGGCCCCUUCGGGGACCGAGUUAGUGGCGGACGGGUGAGUAACGCGUGAGCAACCUGCCUUUCAGAGGGGGACAACAGUUGGAAACGACUGCUAAUACCGCAUGAUGCAGCGAGAUCGCAUGGUCUUGCUGUCAAAGAUUUAUCGCUGAAAGAUGGGCUCGCGUCUGAUUAGCUAGUUGGAGGGGUAACGGCCCACCAAGGCGACGAUCAGUAGCCGGACUGAGAGGUUGAACGGCCACAUUGGGACUGAGAUACGGCCCAGACUCCUACGGGAGGCAGCAGUGGGGAAUAUUGGGCAAUGGGGGAAACCCUGACCCAGCAACGCCGCGUGAAGGAAGAAGGCUUUCGGGUUGUAAACUUCUUUUACCAGGGACGAAGAACGUGACGGUACCUGGAGAAAAAGCCACGGCUAACUACGUGCCAGCAGCCGCGGUAAUACGUAGGUGGCAAGCGUUGUCCGGAUUUACUGGGUGUAAAGGGCGUGUAGGCGGAGCUGCAAGUCAGAUGUGAAAUCUGGGGGCUUAACCCUCAAACUGCAUUUGAAACUGUAGCCCUUGAGUAUCGGAGAGGCAGGCGGAAUUCCUAGUGUAGCGGUGAAAUGCGUAGAUAUUAGGAAGAACACCAGUGGCGAAGGCGGCCUGCUGGACGACAACUGACGCUGAGGCGCGAAAGCGUGGGGAGCAAACAGGAUUAGAUACCCUGGUAGUCACGCUGUAAACGAUGAAUACUAGGUGUGGGGGGACUGACCCCCUCCGUGCCGGAGUUAACACAAUAAGUAUUCCACCUGGGGAGUACGACCGCAAGGUUGAAACUCAAAGGAAUUGACGGGGGCCCGCACAAGCAGUGGAUUAUGUGGUUUAAUUCGACGCAACGCGAAGAACCUUACCGGGAUUUGACAUCCUACUAACGAAGCAGAGAUGCAUUAGGUGCCCUUCGGGGAAAGUAGAGACAGGUGGUGCAUGGUUGUCGUCAGCUCGUGUCGUGAGAUGUUGGGUUAAGUCCCGCAACGAGCGCAACCCCUAUUGUUAGUUGCUACGCAAGAGCACUCUAGCGAGACUGCCGUUGACAAAACGGAGGAAGGCGGGGACGACGUCAAAUCAUCAUGCCCCUUAUGUCCCGGGCUACACACGUAAUACAAUGGCGGUCAACAAAGGGAAGCAAAGCCGCGAGGCAGAGCAAACCCCCAAAAGCCGUCUCAGUUCGGAUUGCAGGCUGCAACUCGCCUGCAUGAAGCUGGAAUUGCUAGUAAUCGUGGAUCAGAAUGCCACGGUGAAUACGUUCCCGGGCCUUGUACACACCGCCCGUCACACCAUGAGAGUCGGGAACACCCGAAGUCCGUAGUCUAACCCGCAAGGGAGGGCGCGGCCGAAGGUGGGUCUGAUAAUUGGGGUGAAGUCGUAACAAGGUA
RNAcentral lists this ribosomal RNA (1473 nucleotides) under metagenome. RNAcentral's name for it is "bacterial SSU rRNA". It matches the Rfam family "Bacterial small subunit ribosomal RNA". The record is from RNAcentral.